RNAcentral lists this ribosomal RNA (1350 nucleotides) under Paenarthrobacter nicotinovorans. RNAcentral describes it as "bacterial SSU rRNA". It matches the Rfam family "Bacterial small subunit ribosomal RNA", at positions 70 to 1426 of the family's 1533-position model. Lineage: Bacteria; Bacillati; Actinomycetota; Actinomycetes; Micrococcales; Micrococcaceae. The record is from RNAcentral.
GAACCCUAGCUUGCUGGGGGGAUUAGUGGCGAACGGGUGAGUAACACGUGAGUAACCUGCCCUUGACUCUGGGAUAAGCCUGGGAAACUGGGUCUAAUACCGGAUAUGACUCCUCAUCGCAUGGUGGGGGGUGGAAAGCUUUUGUGGUUUUGGAUGGACUCGCGGCCUAUCAGCUUGUUGGUGGGGUAAUGGCCUACCAAGGCGACGACGGGUAGCCGGCCUGAGAGGGUGACCGGCCACACUGGGACUGAGACACGGCCCAGACUCCUACGGGAGGCAGCAGUGGGGAAUAUUGCACAAUGGGCGCAAGCCUGAUGCAGCGACGCCGCGUGAGGGAUGACGGCCUUCGGGUUGUAAACCUCUUUCAGUAGGGAAGAAGCCCCUUUUGGGGGUGACGGUACUUGCAGAAGAAGCGCCGGCUAACUACGUGCCAGCAGCCGCGGUAAUACGUAGGGCGCAAGCGUUAUCCGGAAUUAUUGGGCGUAAAGAGCUCGUAGGCGGUUUGUCGCGUCUGCUGUGAAAGACCGGGGCUCAACUCCGGUUCUGCAGUGGGUACGGGCAGACUAGAGUGCAGUAGGGGAGACUGGAAUUCCUGGUGUAGCGGUGAAAUGCGCAGAUAUCAGGAGGAACACCGAUGGCGAAGGCAGGUCUCUGGGCUGUAACUGACGCUGAGGAGCGAAAGCAUGGGGAGCGAACAGGAUUAGAUACCCUGGUAGUCCAUGCCGUAAACGUUGGGCACUAGGUGUGGGGGACAUUCCACGUUUUCCGCGCCGUAGCUAACGCAUUAAGUGCCCCGCCUGGGGAGUACGGCCGCAAGGCUAAAACUCAAAGGAAUUGACGGGGGCCCGCACAAGCGGCGGAGCAUGCGGAUUAAUUCGAUGCAACGCGAAGAACCUUACCAAGGCUUGACAUGAACCGGAAAGACCUGGAAACAGGUGCCCCGCUUGCGGUCGGUUUACAGGUGGUGCAUGGUUGUCGUCAGCUCGUGUCGUGAGAUGUUGGGUUAAGUCCCGCAACGAGCGCAACCCUCGUUCUAUGUUGCCAGCGGUUCGGCCGGGGACUCAUAGGAGACUGCCGGGGUCAACUCGGAGGAAGGUGGGGACGACGUCAAAUCAUCAUGCCCCUUAUGUCUUGGGCUUCACGCAUGCUACAAUGGCCGGUACAAAGGGUUGCGAUACUGUGAGGUGGAGCUAAUCCCAAAAAGCCGGUCUCAGUUCGGAUUGGGGUCUGCAACUCGACCCCAUGAAGUCGGAGUCGCUAGUAAUCGCAGAUCAGCAACGCUGCGGUGAAUACGUUCCCGGGCCUUGUACACACCGCCCGUCAAGUCACGAAAGUUGGUAACACCCGAAG